AUUAUCACAUAUGCCAUUUUAUACAAUUUUGUUUAUUUUAUUUUUUUUCCACGAAGAAUAUAAAAGUACAUAAAAACAAAACAUGGCAAAAUUCUAUUUUUAAGAAAAACUGAGAUGUUAGCAUGGAGAAAUUUUAGACCUGUUCUGUGAAUUUUUUUUAUCUAAAUGGGAGGGGGGGACUGUCGUUAAGUGGUAAAAGGGAGGAUAUAUACAUUUUAGAGCAUGUGCUGCUAAUUUAUCAGCUGUACAUACAGAGACAGAUAUAAUAAAAUACAGUAAUCUUGUGUUCCAUCCCAGCUCUUGUUAGAAACCGCACAGGUUUAAUCACUACUUCUGGGCUAUCUCUGCUGAUGACAGAAGAUAAGACCUUUAUUGCACAACUAUCCCGUUCAGGAUAUAUAGACCACCUAGAUCACCUAGACCACUUCAUCUCUGGGCACAGUGUUCCUGUCACUUUAAUUUUGCAAUGUGAAACACUGUAGGUUUCUCAAAACCGCAAUGUUUACAUUGAAGAUUUAAGUCCACCUCUUGGGGC
This is a non-coding RNA of Pelobates cultripes (western spadefoot toad), 535 nucleotides long. NCBI's taxonomy places the organism in Eukaryota, Metazoa, Chordata, Amphibia, Anura, Pelobatidae. The record is from the annotation of a GenBank genome assembly.